UCCAUUGUGAUGUAGUGGUUUGAAUGUUGGACUAUGACUCUGGAGAUCAAGGUUCAAUUCCCACUGGAG
Phrynosoma platyrhinos (Desert horned lizard) is the source of this 69-nucleotide non-coding RNA. Lineage: Eukaryota; Metazoa; Chordata; Lepidosauria; Squamata; Phrynosomatidae. The record is from the annotation of a GenBank genome assembly.